AGGACGAACGCUGGCGGCGUGCUUAACACAUGCAAGUGGAGCGACGAACCAGGCUUCGGCCUGGGGCAGAGCCGCGAACGGGUGAGUAACACGUGGGUAACCUGCCCUGAUGAUUGGGACAACCCGAGGAAACUCGGGCUAAUACCAAAUGUGCCCUCUGGCCUCAAGGCCUCUGGGGAAAGGAGCUUCGGCCUCCGCAUUGGGAUGGGCCCGCGGCCCAUUAGCUUGUUGGUGAGGUAACGGCUCACCAAGGCUACGAUGGGUAGCUGGUCUGAGAGGACGAUCAGCCACACUGGGACUGAGACACGGCCCAGACUCCUACGGGAGGCAGCAGUGGGGAAUCUUGCGCAAUGCGCGAAAGCGUGACGCAGCAACGCCGCGUGGGGGAAGACGGCCUUCGGGUUGUAAACCUCUUUCAGUAGGACGAAUGUAGACGGUACCUGCAGAGAAGCACCGGCCAACUACGCGCCAGCAGCCGCGGU
This 482-nucleotide ribosomal RNA is filed under the name uncultured bacterium. Its description in RNAcentral is "SSU rRNA". It matches the Rfam family "Bacterial small subunit ribosomal RNA", at positions 26 to 521 of the family's 1533-position model. The record is from RNAcentral.